Molecule: ribosomal RNA, 496 nt
Filed under: uncultured bacterium
Lineage: Bacteria
Description: partial 16S ribosomal RNA
Rfam family: Bacterial small subunit ribosomal RNA
Source: RNAcentral
AUUGAACGCUGGCGGAAUGCUUUACACAUGCAAGUCGAACGGUAGAGGGGGCAACCCCUCGAGAGUGGCGAACGGGUGAGUAAUAUAUCGGAACGUGCCCAGUCGUGGGGGAUAACGUAGCGAAAGUUACGCUAAUACCGCAUACGCCCUACGGGGGAAAGCUGGGGACCUUCGGGCCUGGCGUUAAUGGAGCGGCCGAUAUCUGAUUAGCUAGUUGGUGAGGUAAAGGCUCACCAAGGCGACGAUCAGUAGCUGGUCUGAGAGGACGACCAGCCACACUGGAACUGAGACACGGUCCAGACUCCUACGGGAGGCAGCAGUGGGGAAUUUUGGACAAUGGGCGCAAGCCUGAUCCAGCCAUUCCGCGUGAGUGAAGAAGGCCUUCGGGUUGUAAAGCUCUUUCGCAAGGGAAGAAAACUUAGCCACUAACAUUGGUUGAGGUUGACGGUACCUUGAUAAGAAGCACCGGCUAACUACGUGCCAGCCGCCGCCGUAA